This 265-nucleotide signal recognition particle RNA is filed under the name Clostridiales bacterium GWF2_38_85. Its description in RNAcentral is "signal recognition particle sRNA large type". It matches the Rfam family "Bacterial large signal recognition particle RNA". Rfam says of the family: The signal recognition particle (SRP) is a universally conserved ribonucleoprotein involved in the co-translational targeting of proteins to membranes. Archaeal SRP consists of a 7S RNA and homologues of the eukaryotic SRP19 and SRP54 proteins. Lineage: Bacteria; Bacillati; Bacillota; Clostridia; Eubacteriales. RNAcentral also lists the same sequence under 1 other name. The record is from RNAcentral.
CCAUACUAUCCGGGGAGUUAGCGGUGCCUUGAACCUGCAAUCCGCUAUAGCAGGGGUGAUAUGUCUUUUAAGGGCUAUAACUGUGCAGCUGCUCGUAUGCAAAUGCCGUUGAUGGAUGGGUCUUGCGCAAUCGGAAGUCGUGAAUCAUGUCAGGUGGGGAACCAAGCAGCAUUAAGCGAAUAUUUUGAUGUGCCGCAGGGUAGCCUGUUUUGAGGAAGUUCUUACGAUUCCGUGCAUAGUUGUAUGUUCGAAAUUGACUGUAUGG